UACCAUGAUGAUUACGAAAAAAUCGUGUAAUCAUUGUAAUCUAAAGUAAUCUUGUAACCUUUCAUAAUCACCAAUAAUCUUUAAAAAUCACAUGUAAUCAUCAGUAAUCUUUCGUCGUAUAUUUAUAAUCUGCAAAAAUUUUUUGUAAUCUUGAUAUGAUUACAGAAAAUCUCAGUAAUCUUCUCAGCUUCGUUCUUAAAUCGCGCAUGCGCACGUAUACAUGCACAUAUAUAGUAUUGUAAAUUUUUUUUUCUCUGAAUUUCAAAUGUAAUCAUAAAAGAUUACUGGGAAUCUUUGUGAUUGCUGAAAAAAAAGUAAUCUUGUGUAAUCAUUAAGAAUAUUGCAUGAUUACGGGUAAUCUGUAAUCUGGUGUACACUAAAUUUUGGAGUGUCUUCCUCCUCGGUUUUAUUUUAUAUUUUACGACAAACACAGAAUUUGAAUCGUGGAGUAAAGAAACUAUGAAAAUUAGAGUUUGAAUUCAAUAUCUAUGAGUUACAAAUUCAAAACUUUAAUUUAUCAAUUUGGUACAUUAUACAAAAGAAAUGGACAUGUACAUCAUUAUGUGGAAGUUGAUGGAUUUCAAAGGGAAUUAUUUGACAAUGCUCGUAAAACAAUUUUAGCUGUUUGUAAUAAAUAUAAACAAGUUAAUAAUCACCAAAAUUUUAAUAUUC
Long non-coding RNA from Aphidius gifuensis, 672 nucleotides. RefSeq lists it as uncharacterized. Lineage: Eukaryota; Metazoa; Arthropoda; Insecta; Hymenoptera; Braconidae. The transcript has 2 exons. The record is from RefSeq and is a predicted model, not a curated record.